ACAGAGGCGGCAAGCUUUGUUCGGAAUUAUUGGGCGUAAAGAGCAUGUAGGCGGCUAUUUAAGUCGGUUGUUAAAGCCUUCCGCUUAACGGAAGAAUGGCGGUCGAAACUGCAUGGCUUGAGGUCGGGAGGGGAGAGUGGAACUACUGGGGGAGAGGUGAAAUGCGUAGAUAUCAGAAGGAACGUCGGCGGCGAAAGCGACUCUCUAGACCGUAACUGACGCUGAGUGUGCGAAAGCUAGGGGAGCAAACGG
RNAcentral lists this ribosomal RNA (252 nucleotides) under uncultured prokaryote. RNAcentral describes it as "partial 16S ribosomal RNA". It matches the Rfam family "Bacterial small subunit ribosomal RNA", at positions 525 to 775 of the family's 1533-position model. The record is from RNAcentral.